Long non-coding RNA from Lactuca sativa (garden lettuce), 622 nucleotides. RefSeq lists it as uncharacterized. The record is from RefSeq and is a predicted model, not a curated record. NCBI's taxonomy places the organism in Eukaryota, Viridiplantae, Streptophyta, Magnoliopsida, Asterales, Asteraceae.
UUUUUUGGUGAAUGUCGUAUUUUUUUAUAUAAUUUAUUUCUUUGUUGGGUUUCAUUUUGAUCAGAACAAUCAUACAGAAUUGCUAAGUGUUGUGUUAUGGCAUCCAGAUGUGCUACGUGUCCCACCUACGUCUAUUCACCGCCUCAAUGAUUAGAUAAGUUUCCCUCGCCGUCUUUGUCAUCUCUGGUCAUUCUUUAUCCCUCUACUUUCCUCCACCACCUAAUCCCAAUUGAUCUUCAAGAAAACCCCAGAAAAUACUGAUUCUUUAAAUGUAGAUUGUGAAUGGAGUUCGUCGUAACCUUUUUUGUUUUUGAUUUCUGUAGAUUUUUCUGUUGCUUAUGGGAUUCAGAAAGAAAUUGAUCGAUGUUGUUCAUAGACGACUAUAUGGACCAAAAAGCAUCUAUUCCUUGGAAAAGAUUGGUUGCUGUCAACAAUGAAGCCGAAAUUUCUAUAAAAGAAAAUGAAGAGAGAUGGAGCAUGAGAUUAAAAUACCAUAUAGAAACGAGUUGAUAAUUUUAUGGGCUGUGGGCAUGAUAUAUUUUCUAUAUAUGAGUUUUAUUUUCAACUUAAUCCAAAAAAAAUAUUCAAUAUUCAUUUUUACACAAGAUAUUGUUUAUCAUAA